GGGGUAUAGCUCAGUGGUAGAGUGCAUGCUUCACAUGCACGAGGUCCUGGGUUCAAUUCCCAGUACCACCA
This 71-nucleotide transfer RNA is filed under the name Camelus bactrianus (Bactrian camel). It matches the Rfam family "tRNA". From Rfam's summary of the family: Transfer RNA (tRNA) molecules are approximately 80 nucleotides in length. Their secondary structure includes four short double-helical elements and three loops (D, anti-codon, and T loops). RNAcentral also lists the same sequence under 1 other name. Lineage: Eukaryota; Metazoa; Chordata; Mammalia; Artiodactyla; Camelidae. The record is from Rfam by way of RNAcentral.